AAAUGUGUCAGAUCAUUUUGGUCCACCCUGUAUAACUAAUAGCCCUAUGAAGGAGACUGAGGGUAAAGUGAUUAGGGUAAGUAAUUAAUGUAUUGCAUUUAACAAUUAAAACAAAAUUACAAAAUUGAAAUAUUAAAUUAAUUAAGAUCAGGAGUCUAGAAUCAGUGAAGUUAAUAAAUAAAAUAGAUAUUAGUUAUGUAGUAUGUUGCUAAAUCCGGGUGGAUGUGUCCUAAAGAGUUAAAGCAGAAACUAAGAAUUUAGAGUUUAAUUAGAAAGUGGUCAAGAAAAAUAUAACUGCAUAAACUAUGUUAGUAUGAAUAAAUAUGACUUAUGUUAAUUGAAGAUACAUAUCUAUCUUCAUCAUCAUCAUCAUCAUUGUUUAACAUCUGCUUUAUAUGUUGGCAUGAUUUGGAUGGUUUGACUAAGAACUGGCAAACCAGGCUCCAAUCUGAUUUGACAAGGUUUCUACAGCUGGAUGCCCUUCCUAACCCUGGCCACUCCAAGAGUGUAGUGGGUGCUUUUACAUGCCACCAGCAUGGGAGCCAGUCGGGGGCACUGGCAUCAGUGACACUCGAAUGGUAAAUUUUACAUGCCACUGGCACAGGUGCCAGUCAGACGGCACUAGCAUCAGCCACACUCGAAUGGUACUUUUUACAUGCCAUCAGCACAGGUGCCAGUCAGCCAGCACUGUCAUCAGCCAUGACUACGAUUUCACUCAGUUCAACAGUUUCUUCACAAGCAUGGCAUAUUGCCCAACGAUUGAAGGGUUCUUUUGUAAAUGGGUUAACUAUGUGACACUGGCAUUGACCCAACUACAAUCUCACUUAGCUUGCUGGGUCUUCUCAAGCACAGCAUGUCUCCAAAGGUCUUAGUUGCUUGUCAUUGCCUCUGUGAGGCCCAACAUUUGUAUGUUAUGCUUCACCACCUCAUCUCAUGUCUUCCUCAGUCUACCUCUUCCACAGGUUCCCUCCAAUGAUAGGGUGUGACACUUCUUCACACAGCUGUCCUCAUCCAUAUGCAGCACAUGACCAUACCAGCACUGAAUAAUACCAAUGGUUCUUUACUUAGAAGACUAUUUUGCAAUGAAUUCCCACUAAAUAUCAACUUCUGCAACUUUUAGACACCCCGUUUUACUCGUGCUCCCCCAUUUACUCUAUCAGUUAUGCUCCCCACUUUUGAGGUAUUGAAAUUUAAAAUAUUUGGGAUAUUGAAAUUUAAAAGAAAAACACCAACAGUAAUAAUUGUUAUAUUUUCAGUAUUAUUAGCAACACUGACUAAACUAUUGGUAACGCUUUAAUCAUAAAGGUUUAAAAAAACCCAAUUCUUUUACUAGUUUCGUUUCUGCAUUUGGUUUGCAAGAGUAUUGAUGAGAGUUCAAGUGUUGAAACGAAUCUUGUCAUAUCUUGGAAGGGUCAUUACACCAAUAGCAAUAAACACACACACUGGUUGAAUAUCACUACUUUAUUGUUAGUCAAUAGGUUAAAUAUCUAACCAGCUAAUUGAUUGUUUGUUUAAUGUUCUGGUUAAACAACGAAAGUCUGAAGAGAGAGGACAAGUCAUUGAGAAGUCAUGAAUAGCAAUGAAAGAACUUUGAAAAAUAAAUAACCAAUUGACUGUUUAACCAGCUCAUUAAACAAACAGUCGAUUAGUUAGCUGGUUAGAUAUUUAGCUAAUUCACUAACAAUAAAGAAGUGGAAUUGAACCCACGUAUGUGUUAUUAUUACUGGUGUAAUGACCUUCACAAACACAAGAUUAUUACUAGUUAUUGUUAUUAUAAUUAUAUUUAUUUUAACAGCCAUAACCAUAAUACUGUUUAUUACAAUUAGUAUAAAUAAGAUAUUUGCCAGUACUUUAUUAAUCAAAUAAAAAGCUUUACAGUUACAAUUUAAAUUGAUAUUUUGGGCCCACGGCUAUAGUAGGAUACAUUUGCCCAAGAUAUCAUUCAAGUUUUUUUUUACUAUAGCCUAGGACUGACAAAUAAGUUUGGUUACCAGAAACUGAAAGACACCAGUUAUGUGUGUACACAUAUUCAUAUCUGUGUGUGUGUGUGUGUGUGUGUGUGCAUGUGUGUAUUAGGGUGGAGCGAAAAAUGUAACUUUCGAAACUGGUAACCAAGAAUCGAUAUUUUGUUGCAAAUUAGAAUUAAAAGAAAUGCAUAUAAAGAACUUUGCAGUUAAAUUUUUUUUCAGGCUCCACAAUGCAAUUGAAAAUUUUAAAAAUCGCUAUUUUUGGUCAAAUUUUGAAUUUCAUGGAUUAUAAGUCAUAACAAAUACACGUUUCUACAUAGCAGAAUGCUAAACAGUACAAAUAGUAUCCUUAAGAGGUUGCAUACCAAGUUUGAAUACAAUUGACUAAUAUUUUGAGGUUCUGCACUGACUAUAAAGAGAACGGAAGGGUGAACUGCUCUCCAGUACCGCUGCAAUAGUCGUUAUGUGUGGGUGUAUGUUGUACGUGUGUGAAGUUUUCUGGUUUGUACCUUGACUUUAGGCCAUUGUAUUAAAAUUAAUGAUCGUGUUAAAUUUAGUCUUGUUUACAUUUAGUGAUGACUCAUAAGCCAAUAACAGGUCAUGAUAUUGAAUGCCGAAUAUUUGGUAUUCCAUGUGAUCUUAACGAGCGAGUUUUGCCAACUUACAAGGAUAUACUAACACCAACUACUUUACAGAGUGUACUGGGUGCUUUUAUGCAGCACUAGCACAGGUGCUUUUUACACAGCACUAGCACUUACAAGCCCAAAAGAUUAAGGAUGCUCAACUGGUGGGGGUUGCAAGGGACAAGCCUGCAUGCAAGGGCAACCACGCUUUUACUUAGCUUGACAUGUCUUUUCAAGCACAACAUCUAUUUUCCAUGCUGGUAAGGUGCAUUCCAGGGUUUUGAGACUUUCUUAGAAAAAGUAGUAAUAAAUGUCCAAGAUUACUGUAAUUUUUGUGUAUCAUUACUAUACAUCUAAGAAGCCAACCUGCCAAUUCUUGUUGCCCCAUUGAAGUAGAUACCUGUAGGAGCACUUUGAAAACACACCCUACCAAACACUGCUUGUCACAUCUGACUAGUUUGCAGAAUGCAGUCAGGACAUUUAGAAACUUUAUAUAAUGAAGUUUUGUAUCAAACUGGAAAAAUAAUAUUACAGACACUUACAGAGUUGGUUGAGAAAAUUCAUAGUUUUCUGAAUGAAGACUGCCAUAUGUCUAUAAAAACAGUUUGAAGUUGGUGUCACAACUGUACACAAUUAUUUAUGCAAAGUUUAUUUCCAGGGUGCUCAGUGAUGAGAAUCCUGGCAACCAACUACUUAAUAGAGAUGGUCAUUGAAACUGUCCCUUAUUCUCCCUACAAUCCAGAUCUUGUUCUCUGUAGCUUUCGGUUGUUCCCCAGGCUGAGGGAGAACUUCAGAGGCAGUCCGUUUUGAAGGUAGAGGAUGCUGUGACAAGGGUCCUGGACACCUUCGCUUUGGGAAAUUUCCAUGGAGCCAUCACAAAGUGGCUGAAGUGCUACAAGUGUAGGAAAGUCAGAGGAUCCUGUGUCUCUCCUGAAAAAGUCUACAAACUUCUGGGAUACACCUUGUACAUCAUCAGCACCAGAAGCAGCAGCAUUUAGCAUCUGUCUUCCAUGCUACCAAAGGUUGGACAGUUUGACAGGAGUUAGUAAAUGGGAGAACUGCACCAAAUUCCACUGCUUAUUUUGGCUUGGUUUCUAUGGCUGGAUGCUAUUCUUAAUGCCAACCACUUUACAGAAUGAGCUGGGUGCUUUUUACAUGGCACCAGCACCAGUGAGAUCACCAAGGAGCCUGCAAGACAAAGACCCUUUGAAAAUGGGUCAAUAUUGAAGAAGGUGGCUUUGUGCUAGGUGAUGAGAUGUUAGAGUAUGACAGAGGAACUGAAACAAGUAGAGGAGAUACAUGGUUAUCCCAGUCAGAAAGAGAGAAAGAGAGAGGGAGGAGAGAGAGCAAGAAUGAGAGAAAGUGAGAGUAAGAGAGACCAAGCAAGAGAGAGAACAAGACUGAAAGUGAGUGAGAGAGAUGGUGGUAAUGUGCCAGGACAUGCUUCUAAGGUACAAGAAUGAGAAUAUAAAUGGGAUGGUAAACGACUGUCCGGGGUGCAUGAGUAAGGAGUUCACAUGAAUGCAAAGGGGUGGGGCGGAGUAAUAUUAUUCAUCAUAUGAAAUAAUAAAAAUAAAUAUAAUUUAAUAAACCAAAAAAUAACGACAAAAAAAACAAAAUAUAACUGAUAAAAUGAUAGUAGAUAUUUUUUCUUCAUUUGAUGAUCAUAAUUCAACAACCUUAUACCUUCAUUCUCUUACAUGAAUUCUAUCCUUAUGAUCUCUCUUUUUUAUUAAUUCUUCAUUCUGAAUUUUCCCUUCAUUUUUUAAUUCCUCUCUAAUAAUCGAGUGGGGAAACCUGGGAAUGUAGAGAGGAUGGCAACAGGAUGGCAAUGAUACAGUUGGCAGGGCAGGAAGGACAGAAUUGGGCAGUAGGAGUGGGGAGGGGAAGUUAAGUAUAGUGCAUGAAGGAGGGAUGCAUUUUGGUUUAUUGGGGUGUGAAAAACUUAAUGUUAUAUGUGGGUAGAACACACAGCACUUCCCAGAACUCACACACACACACACAUUGCCAAGUGGUUAGGGUGUUUCAGUUCCUGGAUCAGAUGGUGCCUGAACAGAUCAUAUGAAAUUUGCUGAAGUGUAUGUGUAAAUAUAUAUCCAGGCACAGGUGUGGCUGUGUGGUAAGAAGCUUACUUCCCAACCACAUGGUUCCAGGUUCACUCCCACUGUGUAGCACCAUGGGCAAGUGUCUUCUGCUAUAGCCUUGGGCCAACCGAAGCCUUGUGAGUGGAUUUAGUAGAUAGAAACUGAAAGAAGCCCAUUGCAUAUGUGUGUGUGUAUCUAUGUGCAUGUGUCUCUGUGUCUGUCCUUGUCCCCCACUUCAACACUUGACAACCAAUGUUGGUGUGUUUAUGUCCCUGUAACUUAGUGGUUCAGCAAAAGAGAAUGAUAGAAUAAGUGCCAGGCUUACAAAGAAUAAGUUAUGUGGUUGAUAUCUUUGACUAAAAGGUGGCAAGAAAGAAUAUAUAUAUAUAUAUAUAUAUAUAUAUAUAUAUAUAUAUAUAUAUAUAUAUAUAUAUACAACAUGCAUACACAUAUUCUUUAUUCUUAUAUUUGGAGCACCACCUUGAAUUUUUAGUCAAAUGAACUGACACCAGUACUUCUUUUUUUUUUUCUUUUUAAGAAGUGGUGCUUAUUCUGUCAGUCUCUUUUACUGAACUGCUAAGUUAUGGAGGACACAAACACACCAGUUGUCAAGCAGUGGUGGAGAGACAAACGCAGACAUAAAGACACACACACAUUGAUAUAUAGACAUAUAUAUAUAUCAUCAUCAUCAUCGUUUAAUGUCUGUUUUCCGUGCUAGCACGGGUUGGACAGAAACGAGAUACCACUGCCCCGGGUGAGGCCCGAACUCACAACCUCUGCAUUAUAAGUACGGCGUGCUAAUAUAUAUAUGUAUACAACAGACUUCUUUCAGUUUCCAUCUACUAAAUCCACUCACAAGGAUUUGGUCAACCCAAGGCUAUUGUAAAAGACACUUGCCCAAGGUGUCACACAGUGGGACUGAACCUGGAAAUGUGAUUGGGAAGAAGGCAUCUUACCACACAGCCAUGUCUGUGCCAAUGUAUACAAUAGUACUCAUAUCGAGAAAACUUCAUCAGCCCGUAUGCCCACUUCAUCAUGAGCAGCUCACUAAUACUAAGGAUCACAUUCUUAACAUAGCUAAGACCACCCUGAUGACUGGCCUUUCUCUUUAACCCCCAACAAUUAUUGAUGCCCUACAAAGCUCAAGUGAGGACUAAAAUGGAUCAUUGCACUCACAUCUGGGACAGUGAUACUUCUGCACACACAAGCAUCAUAAACUACAUCCACUCAACUGAUUGGCAUGAAGUUACUAGCAGACACACACCAACCUCUAACUCACCAGUUGCACUGUCUUUUCUUCCUAGCUUUCCCAGAUUGCUGGCCCUUUGAAAUUCACCCCCUACUCCUAUCUUUCAGAUGUCAACAGACAAUGGUCCAAGAGGAACAUUAAUGGUAUCAAUCUAACCACUUUAAGAGAGUCUGCAAAGGCCAUAGGAACAACUUAUUUCACCAGACCCAGCAAACAGAAGAAAAAGACACUGUUCAACAACCAUAUUGUGGCCUCCCUUCCUUGUGUCGUCUGCUUAUUGUCAUGCUCAAUUCCAAAUGCCUGGAGGGGGUAAACCUUUAAAAAAAAUGAAAUUUUGAAGGACAAUUUUUUCUAAACGCCAAAUCUCUAAAUUUCAAAAUACCUAAUUCAAACAAGAUAAGAAUUUUUAUAAAAAAUUGAAAGCAAAAAAUUUGGAGUGGUUGAAUGGAAACUAAAAUUUUGAAAUGCUGAAUUUUGGGCAAAAUCGUCGAGUCCAUUGUUGAAAGCAUAAGAAUGUGAAAAAAAAAUUCGAUAACAAGGGUAACUAUUGGUAGAGUGAAUAUCCAACACGUCUGCUGGAAGUAAAAAGUAAAAAGUAUGUUCGAGGUCGGACAUCAUACAGAGGUUUUUUUUUUUCUAAAAAAUUUAAUAAAGGGAGAGCAGCAAAUAUUGACAAGCCAUGUUUGUCUAGUGAUUAUCGUUCUUUAUCCUGUCUCGUAUGCUUGAUGUACAAAUAAAAAUAAUAUUUUCUACUAUAAGCAGGAGGCCUAAAAUUUUAGGGAAGGGGACUAGUCGAUUACAUUGACCUCAGUAUUUCACUGUUACUUUAUUCAUCGACCCAGAAAAGAUGAAAGGCAAAGUCGACCUCGGUGGAAUUUGAACUCAGAACGUAGCGACUGGCGAAAUACCGCUAAGCAUUUCGUCCAGCGUGCUAACGAUUCUGCCAGCUCGCCAAAAUAACUUGAGGUUCGUAACGAGGUGAAAUAGGAAAUUAUCGCUUGGGUAUUCCUUUUCCCUAGCGACAUUAAUAAAAUAAAAUGACAACUCGAUCUUUCCAAAAAGGAGAAAAAUUCACAUGUUCGGAGUAUAUACAUUAUUUAUAACUUACAAAAUAUAAAGUUAUCUCAAAUAGACUACAAACCAGAAAAGUAUUUUAACACACGCACAAACGUGUGUAUGUGUUAAUUAUACUCAUAUAUGUUGAAAGCUAAUCUAAUGUGAACGAAGAAUGCAAAACAGAUACAUAUUUUUUUAGAAAAAAAAUACUCUUGAUCCUCGAGGAUCUACAAUACUCC
This 7218-nucleotide long non-coding RNA is filed under the name Octopus vulgaris (common octopus). The record is from RNAcentral. Lineage: Eukaryota; Metazoa; Mollusca; Cephalopoda; Octopoda; Octopodidae.